UCCCGGCUCAGAGUUCUCCACCGCUCCUCCCAGGCUCACGAGGCUCAUGGGCUACCCAGCACCAGCCGCCCAGGAGGCUGGACCACAGGAUCUCGGCGCCCACCAGGCCUCAGUCCCGACUUCUUCCUGCUGCCCGGCAUGGGACCCUCCCCCAGGACAGCCACCUCCCGGUGCUGAAGAGCCGGCCCUCUGCAGAGCCGCCCGCCGUUCCUUUUUCCUAUGCAUAUACUUCUUUGAGGAUCUGGCCUAAAGAGGUAUAGGGCAUGGGAAAACGGGGCGGUCGGGUCCUCCCCAGUGGCACCUGCACCAGCGCACCUGCACCUGCCCCAGCAGCACCUGCCUCUUGACUUGGGACUCCGCCUGCUUCCUCUCUCCUUGGCCCGGGAGACCUGGGGCUUUGAUCCCCGUGUCCUUGGGGCAGAAAGGGGCCAAAUAUUCUAGAACAAGGAAAACAUGGAUGUGUGCUUUUGUGUGGGUUCUGGAAGUGUCUGAGGAGGACGUGGUCCAGGCCUCUGCCCUGGGUUGAUCUCUGCAGCCCCGGAGCUGGGACCCAGGAUGCAGAGAGGAGGGCUGGAGCUGGGCGGUGCUGUGACCAGUCUGACCGGAGAUGGGGUGGAUGCAUUACAGGAGGCGGCGGGAGGGACAGGCCUGGGCUCUGGAGCCGCCUGGUGGUCGGGGGAAGUGGGGCGGGGUGCCUGGGAUCUUUGCUCUGGCUGGGAGGAUCCACAACUCAUUCUUUGGACAUUUUCUUUGCAGACUACGAAGCUGCACCGUGUGGGGCCCACUUUUUACACAAGUGGGUGGCGGUGGAUCCAGGCGCACAGACGGGAGGCGUGGCGGAGACGCGUGCACGCUGGGUCUGUGCGCUUUUGCUGCUUUUUUUUUUGAGAUGGAGUCUCGCUCUGUCACCCAGGCUGGAGUGCAGUGGCAUGAUCUCUGCUCACUACAACCUCCAUCUCCCGGGUUUAAGCGACUUUCCUGUCUCAGCCUCCCAAGUAGCUGAGACAACGGGCGCCCGCCACCGCACCCGGCUAAUUUUUGUAUUUUUAGUAGAGAUAGGGUUUCACCUUGUUAGUCAGGCUGGUCUUGAACUCCUGACCUCAUGAUCCACCUCCCUCGGCCUCCCAAAGUGCUGGGAUUACAGGCGUGAGCCACGCGUCCGGCCGGCAGUUACUUCUUAACAACUUUAUUACUUUUGUAAUCAUGGGUAUGAGUUGAUUUUCUGGUCAGAAAUUUCAGUAGAGCUAAUUUCAUUUAAAUGUGUUAGAUGUGGUAAAGUUUUGACAAUAAAUACAAAUUUUGACAAAGCA
Molecule: long non-coding RNA, 1310 nt
Organism: Symphalangus syndactylus (siamang)
Lineage: Eukaryota; Metazoa; Chordata; Mammalia; Primates; Hylobatidae
Source: RefSeq, a predicted model, not a curated record